GUCGGAACGGAUACGGUGCGAGCCUCCCAUAAAAAACGCCUCACUGACAUCGAAGGAAAAGGGGUGUAAAAUAAAACAAGACAUCAUUUUGCUUAACAAUAUCUUGCGCACGGGUGCAAGACUAGUUCACGGCAUUGCCAUGGAAGGAGACAAUCAGAGGAAGCUGCUUGAGGACGUGUUUGGAGGAUCAUCAUCAGAUACUGACAUUGAAGAAUUCAUGGAAUCCUCUUCUUCAUCUCACCAUUUCCCUUCAACUGAUAACAAACGCGGUCUUAUUAAUCUCUCACAUUCAACAACGAACCCUAACCCUAGCUGGAAACACAUUGCAGAUAUCAAAGGGUUGUGGUUAUGCAGGGACUUCCUCUCUCUUCAACAGCAAUCUUCUCUUCUUUCUUCCGUUCAAACAGAUAAAGCCAUGAGUCAGCUGACCAAUCAGGAGAAAGGAGAUGUUGAUGCCGAUACUUGGUUAAACGAGCUGUAUCAACAAAGAGUGAAGUUACACCAAAUUCAAGAUGAGACAAAAGCCUCCUCUAAGGCGGUCAAGCCUUCGUUCGUAAGUCGAUCCGCUUUGGCAUCAAAAAGGAAGAAGGAAGACGAGGCUAAGGCUCCUUCGAAGAAACCAAAGCUCAAAAUCACCAAGAAGGUGAAGAAAGAGAAAGAGACAGUUGAGAAGUUCCAUGAUAAGUUCCAUGAUGGGCCUGCAAAAGAGCUCACAUUAGCCGUGGCUGGGAGUAAGGGAGCUAUAAAUGUUCUCUCUGCGUUUGACGAGGACAAAGUCACUCCUGCUGGCAAAGAGAGGGAGAUAGAAGUUUCCACUAACGGAGGGGGUACAAGUGAGACUCCAGCCAAGCAAUUGGUAAAAGGUACACCCGGUUGUACGUAGUUCUACAUGCAACCGGGUAGUUUUGGUUUUUAACCCCUCAAAAAGCACGAUUUUAUAGUUUAAAGCACAUUUUUACAGGUUAAAGUAUAUUUUUAUAGCUUAAAAGCAGAUACAUUUCAAAAGAACACAUUGUUAGUACAAAAGAACAUACGAGCGCGAAGAAUUUGAGAGGAUAUGUAAACUGAUAUUGGUUGCUCACCUUUUAAGUUUAGGUUUUUUCCCAAUUGGAAGAAGAUAUUCAAUAUCAUAAUAUUUGAAAACAUAUGUGCAUUAAAAUUGUAAAAAUGUGCUUUUAAACUGAAAAUGUGCUUUUAAACUAAAAAAUGUGCUUUUUUUUGAGGGAUUAAAAAAUACAAAACGAUCCGGUUGCACGUAGAGCUACGUACAACCGGGUGUACCUAAUAAUUUGUGUCAGCCAAGCCAUUGGGUGACUUACCCGAGGUAGUGGGUGACAAAGUUCCGAGCUUUGUUUUUGACCGCGUUCGGCAGACAGGUGAAGCAAGUUUGGAACAAAAGUGGGAUGACGAGGAGGUGGGUGAGUUUCCUUCAACAAAACGCUUUGACAACAAAUCCCAGGCCAAAAUUGUUGAGGGAAUAAUGAAUGUUGUGCCGAAGGAGUACAGAGAAUUCGUCCAAGGGCCCGACGACGCCCAGUUGGGAGCUAUCCAGGCGACCUUGGUUGAUCUACUCAUCAAGAUGGAUGGAGCAAAGAAAUGGCACCGAGAAGUUCAGAGAGACCUUAAAAAGCAGGUGACGAAAGCCGCUUUUGUUCAGAUCGAGGAGGUGCGCAUUGAAAAAGAUGCUACCAUUGCCGCACAGGCUAGAGACUUAGCCGCCUAUGAAGUCAGAGAGGAAGGUCAACCUUCAGAAGAUUAACGAGCAGAUCCUGGCCAUAGACACCAUAACUGGUGAACUUGACAAGGCUUUAGCUGCGAAGGCCGAGCUCAAGGCCAAGCUGGAGGCUCAAUCAUCCAUGGAAGCUCGAGUUGUCGAGCUGGAAAAGGACUUGGCGGCCGCUAGGGCUGAUGUUGCUUUUCUUUCUGCAGAUGCUAAAUCAGCUUAUAUCAAAGGAGAGGAGGACACCAAGAAGGCUACCCACAUGGCAUGGGACUUUGUUACAGGAUACUUGAUCCUGUUGCCAGCUUUGUGACAGAAUACAGAAUUAAGAAGAAGAAGAAGAUAGAUUGCACCAGAAGAAAGAAGAAGAAGAUUCAGAAAUAGGAGAAGAGAAGAAGAGAAUUAAGGAAGGAGAAUUUAGAGAGAGAAGUUGUAAUAUAUUUCAUGAUUCAAUCGUAACUUACAUCAUUUGUCUAUAUACUACAAUUCUUGUUAGUUAGCUUGAAAAACAAGUAACUCAAGCAUAACAGAAUUCAGUUAGAAUUCAGUUGCAAACAAUAACAGAAAGUCAAUGCUAAAUCACAAAGUCAACAUAUUGACUUCUAAACCUUGACUUUGUAUAUAAUUCCCUGAACAUUCCAUCCCCCUUAAGCAACUUGUCCUCAAGUUUGCACAAUAGUAAAGUGAGGAAAUUUGGACUGAAAAGUGUCCCCAAGUAGCAUCAUGUGGAAGAGUAUCUUCCCAUUGAACCAACAACUGGACCUUAGUUUGAUUUUGAGACUGCACAGAUCGUUGAUCCAAAAUCACUGCAGGAACUGGAUCCAAAGAAGAAUCUUUGCCCUGUAGCCAAGCAGGUAUGUGUGUGGCAAUUGGCAAAGACCCAUGAAACACCUUCAAUUGAGAAACAUGAAACACAUUGUGAAUUUUAGCUGAUUCUGGUAAUUGAAGCUUGUAAGCUACCUUGCCAACACAAUCAAUCACUUGGAAAGGUCCAUAAUAUUUUGGAGACAGCUUCUGAUUCCCCCUAUUCUGCACUGUGAAUUGUCUAUAGGGUUGCAGCCUUAACCAGACCCAAUCUCCCACUGAAAAAGACCUAUCAGAUCUCUUUUUAUCAGCUUGGUGUUUCAUUCUGUUUUGAGCCCUCAGGAGAUGAAAUUUUACCAAAUCAAUCAUUUGCUCCCUUCUUUGAAAGCUUCUAUCCACUUCAUCCACAACAGAUUCUCCUGGAAGAUAAGGAAGGUGCAAUGGUGGAGGUUGGCCAUAAACCACCUCAUAAGGAGUAAGUUGAAUACUGGAGUGAAAGUGAGUGUUGAACCACCACUCAGCUACUGGUAACCAAGCAGACCAAUCUUUAGGUUGGUCACUACACAUGCACCUUAAGUAUGUUUCUAAGCAUCUGUUAACUACUUCAGUUUGUCCAUCAGUCUCAGGGUGAUAAGAGGAAGACAACAUGAAUUCAGUACCAUGAAGACUGAACAAACCCUUCCAAAACUGGCUCAAAAAUAUAGCAUCUCUAUCACUGACAAUGCUCCUUGGCCACCCAUGAAGUUUAAAGACAUUAUCAAGGUAUGAUUGAGCUACUUGAAUAGCAGUAUAAGGAUGGGACAAAGCCAUAAAGUGACUGUAUUUGCUCAAUCUGUCCACUACAACAAAAAUGACAUCUUUUCCCCCUGAUUUAGGCAAACCAGUAAUGAAGUCCAUUGAAACAUCAAACCAUACAGCUUCAGGAAUUGGCAAUGGUUGUAAUAAACCAGGACUAGCUGCAGUAUCAUAUUUGGAAGAUUGACAUGUCUUACAUUGCUUCACAAAGAGCCUCACAUCUGUUGCCAAACCCUUCCAGUAAAAGAGACUUUGCACCCUUUUAAUAGUUAAAUCCCUUCCCGAGUGACCACUUUCAGGAGAAGAAUGCAACCAAUUUAUCACCUUAUUCUUUAAAACCAAAUCAGACCCUAAAACCAGUUUUCCUCUCCUCCUAGCCAAACCAUCUUGUAAGGAGUAAUUGUCAACAGAUUCACCAUUCUGCAGCUUAGUAACAAUGGCCAACAAGGAGUUAUCCAACAUAUAACUGGCUUUGAUUAAAGCAGUAAGAUCAGAGUUGACAACAGAAAUAGCCAUACACAAAAUAGUGGCUCUAGGCACUCUAGAAAGGGCAUCAGCAACUACAUUUUCUUUUCCAGACUUAUACUGAAUGUCAUAGUCAAAUCCCAUGAGUUUAGAAAGCCAAAAUUGUUGAAAUGGUGUGGAUACCUUCUGUUGAAGAAGCCACUUCAAGCUUUUCUGAUCAGUUCUAAUAGUGAAAUGUGAACUCCUCAAGUAUUGUUCCCAUUUCUGAACAGCAAACACAAUGGCAAGCAAUUCUUUCUCAUACAUAGAUAAUUUCUGCCACUUUGGUCCUAAAGCUCUACUGAUGAAUGCCAAAGGGUGAUUAUCCUGCAUCAAAACUGCACCAAUACCUGUAUUUGAGGCAUCUGUCUCCACCACAAAUGUUUUAGAGAAGUCAGAAACUGCUAGCACUGGAGCAGAAACCAAAGCUUGCUUAAGAGUAGUGAAAGCAUUUUGAGCUGUAUCAGACCAAACAAAAGCCCCCUUUUUUAGUAAAUCAGUUAGAGGUUUACUGACGAGAGAAUAAUGCAUAACAAACUUCCUGUAUAUCCAGCCAACCCUAAAAAACUUCUCAAUUCCUUCACUGAUGUUGGAACAGGCCAACUCUCCACAGCAGCUAUCUUAUUGGGAUCAGUUUCUACCCCUACUGCAGAAAUGUAGUGACCAAGGUAUUCAACCUUGUCAAUAGCAAAACAACACUUACUAGCUUUGGCAAACAUCUUAUUACACCUCAUUAACUCAAACACUUGAGCCAAAUGAGACCAAUGCUGCUCUUUGGAUCUACUGUAAACCAAUAUAUCAUCAAAAAAGACUAACACACAUUUUCUGAGUAAAGGCUUAAAAACACCAUACAUCCAACUCUGAAAUGAGGCAGGUGCAUUGGUUAGACCAAAUGGCAUAACCAAGAACUCAAAGUGACCUGAAUGUAGAGCUGUCAAAAAUCGACCCGACCCGAAAACCGACCUGAACCCGACCCGAAAAUACUGGGUCCUGAACAAGAUUUUGUGACCCGUAACCCGAUUUUAUCCGAACCCGAGCAACCCGAAAAUGAAUGGGUCAAAACCCGACCGAACCCGUUUUGGACCCGACCGAUUGAAAAUCAUUGUAUUUAUAGUAAUAAAUGAGAUUAUGAGAAAAUGUAAGCAUAAUAGACACGUUGUUUUUACUAUUUGUGUGUAAUAUGAUUUUAAUUUGAAUUAUACGCCAUUUUAUGGUUGAAUUUGACUAAAUAUAAACUUUCGUAGGAAAAUUUGUUAAUUUGUCCCAAUAUUUUGUAUAUUUAUAACCUAAAUUAAUGAAAAUAUAAUGCGCGUUUUAAAAUCUCUCAACCCGUUGGGUCAACCCGAACGCGAAAGUUCUGGGUCUUGAACAAGCAUUUGCAAACCCGAACCCGAAAGUGACCGACCCGAUUCAACCCGAACCCGAAAGUAAUUCUUUACAACCCGACCCGACCGACCCGUUUGACAGGUCUACCUGAAUGUGUUUUAAAAGCAGUUUUAUAAACAUCACUCUCUUGAACCCUUAUCUGACCAGCCCUCAAGUCAAGUUUAGUAAACACUGAAGCACCUGCUAAUUCAUCAAUCAACUCAUCUAUAACAGGUAUAGGGAACUUAUUCUUAAUGGUUCUGUUGUUUAAUUCUCUAUAAUCUACACAUAAUCUCCAGGUACCAUCUUUCUUUCCCACCAAAACUAUAGGAGAUGCAAAUGGGCUUGAACUGUUCUGUAUGACCCCCCUUUCCAGCAUAUCUUGAACUAAUUGUUCAAUCACAUCUCUCUGUUUUAAUGGAUAUCUGUAAGGCCUUAUGUUUACUGGCCUUGCAUUAGGCUCUAAUGGGAUUGUGUGAUCAAAUACCCCCCUGUGAGGUGGCAAAUCCUCAGGGUCAGCAAAAAUGUCUUUGUACUGUUCUUUCAAAGCUUUCAGUUCACUGUCCUCAUGUUGUUGAUUGGCUGAUUGUU
RNA transcript from Spinacia oleracea (spinach), 5779 nucleotides. RefSeq lists it as uncharacterized. The transcript has 5 exons. The record is from RefSeq and is a predicted model, not a curated record. NCBI's taxonomy places the organism in Eukaryota, Viridiplantae, Streptophyta, Magnoliopsida, Caryophyllales, Amaranthaceae.